RNAcentral lists this ribosomal RNA (253 nucleotides) under uncultured bacterium. RNAcentral's name for it is "partial 16S ribosomal RNA". It matches the Rfam family "Bacterial small subunit ribosomal RNA", at positions 524 to 776 of the family's 1533-position model. The record is from RNAcentral.
UACGAGGGGUGCAAGCGUUAAUCGGAAUUACUGGGCGUAAAGCGCGCGUAGGCGGCCUGGUCAGUCGGAUGUGAAAUCCCUGGGCUCAACCUGGGAACUGCAUACGAUACUGCCAGGCUAGAGUGUGGGAGAGGGUGGUGGAAUUCCCGGUGUAGCGGUGAAAUGCGUAGAUAUCGGGAGGAACAUCAGUGGCGAAGGCGACCACCUGGCCCAACACUGACGCUGAGGUGCGAAAGCGUGGGUAGCAAACAGG